This 449-nucleotide ribosomal RNA is filed under the name uncultured bacterium. RNAcentral describes it as "bacterial SSU rRNA". It matches the Rfam family "Bacterial small subunit ribosomal RNA", at positions 28 to 478 of the family's 1533-position model. The record is from RNAcentral.
GAUGAACGCUGGCGGCGUGCUUAACACAUGCAAGUCGAACGGGAAACCUUUUAUUGAAGCUUCGGCAGAUUUAACUGGUUUCUAGUGGCGGACGGGUGAGUAACGCGUGGGUAACCUGCCUUGUACAGGGGGAUAACAGUCAGAAAUGACUGCUAAUACCGCAUAAGCGCACAGGACCGCAUGGUCCGGUGUGAAAAACUCCGGUGGUAUAAGAUGGACCCGCGUUGGAUUAGCUUGUUGGUGGGGUAACGGCCCACCAAGGCGACGAUCCAUAGCCGGCCUGAGAGGGUGAACGGCCACAUUGGGACUGAGACACGGCCCAGACUCCUACGGGAGGCAGCAGUGGGGAAUAUUGCACAAUGGGGGAAACCCUGAUGCAGCGACGCCGCGUGAAGGAAGAAGUAUCUCGGUAUGUAAACUUCUAUCAGCAGGGAAGAAAAUGACGGUAC